UUUAAGGUCUAACCUGCCCAAUGAGGAUUUAAAUGGCCGCAGUAUUUUGACUGUGCAAAGGUAGCAUAAUUAUUAGUUUUUUAAUUGAAAGCUUGUAUGAAGGGUUGGACGAGAUAAAGUCUGUCUUUAUUUAAAUCAAAGUAUAAUUUAACUUUUAAGUCAAAAGGCUUAAAUGUUUAUAAAAGACGAGAAGACCCUAUAGAUCUUUAUUUAAUUAAGAUUUUAAUAAUUUAGGAUUAUUUUAAUUUGGAGUUUUAAUUAAAUUUUAUUGGGGUAAUAUAAAGAUUAAAUAAAUUCUUUUUAUUUAUAACAUUAAUUUAUGAAUAUAUGAUCCAUUAAUAUUGAUUAUAAGAUUAAGUUACCUUAGGGAUAACAGCGUAAUUUUUUUGGAGAGCUCAUAUCGAUAAGAAAGUUUGCGACCUCGAUGUUGGAUUAAAAAUUAGCUUGGGUGCAGAAGCUCAAGAUUUUGGUCUGUUCGACCAUUAAAUUUUUACAUGAUCUGAGUUCAGACCGGCGUAAGCCAGGUCGGUUUCUAUCUUUAUUUAGAUAAAAUAUUUUAGUACGAAAGGACCAAGUAUUUAAUAUAAUUAUAUUUAUUUUUUGAAGAAUAUU
This 612-nucleotide ribosomal RNA is filed under the name Cicindela (Rivacindela) sp. JP-70. RNAcentral's name for it is "partial 16S ribosomal RNA". It matches the Rfam family "Bacterial large subunit ribosomal RNA", at positions 1844 to 2739 of the family's 2925-position model. Lineage: Eukaryota; Metazoa; Arthropoda; Insecta; Coleoptera; Carabidae. The record is from RNAcentral.